GACGAACGCUGGCGGCGUGCUUAACACAUGCAAGUCGAACGGUGAAGGGACCAGCUUGCUGGUUCUGGAUGAGUGGCGAACGGGUGAGUAACACGUGAGUAACCUGCCCCCUUCUUCUGGAUAACCGCAUGAAAGUGUGGCUAAUACGGGAUAUUCUGGGUCUGUCGCAUGGCGGGCCCGGGAAAGAUAUUGCUUCGGUGGGGGAUGGGCUCGCGGCCUAUCAGCUUGUUGGUGGGGUGAUGGCCUACCAAGGCGGUGACGGGUAGCCGGCCUGAGAGGGGGGACGGUCACACUGGGACUGAGACACGGCCCAGACUCCUACGGGAGGCAGCAGUGGGGAAUAUUGCACAAUGGGCGCAAGCCUGAUGCAGCGACGCCGCGUGAGGGAUGGAGGCCUUCGGGGUGUAAACCUCUUUCGCCAGUGAAGCAGGCCUGCUCCUUGUGGGUGGGUUGACGGUAGCUGGAUAAGAAGCGCCGGCUAACUACGUG
RNAcentral lists this ribosomal RNA (489 nucleotides) under uncultured bacterium. RNAcentral's name for it is "partial 16S ribosomal RNA". It matches the Rfam family "Bacterial small subunit ribosomal RNA", at positions 28 to 507 of the family's 1533-position model. The record is from RNAcentral.